CAGUCGCCGCGGGAAUACGAAGGGUGCAAGCGUUACUCGGAAUUACUGGGCGUAAAGCGUGCGUAGGUGGUGGUUUAAGUCCGUUGUGAAAGCCCUGGGCUCAACCUGGGAAUUGCAGUGGAUACUGGGUCACUAGAGUGUGGUAGAGGAUAGUGGAAUUUCCGGUGUAGCAGUGAAAUGCGUAGAGAUCGGAAGGAACAUCUGUGGCGAAGGCGACUAUCUGGGCCAACACUGACACUGAGGCACGAAAGCGUAGGGAGCAAACAGGAUUAGAUACCCCCGUAGUCCCUGUCUCUUAUAC
This 301-nucleotide ribosomal RNA is filed under the name uncultured bacterium. RNAcentral's name for it is "partial 16S ribosomal RNA". It matches the Rfam family "Bacterial small subunit ribosomal RNA", at positions 509 to 807 of the family's 1533-position model. The record is from RNAcentral.